UCAGCCUGGGUAGUCGGGUUUUACUCCCUUGUAAACAUCAAAAGGGGAGGGACUCCUGGAAACCUGGUAGCGUCCCUGUCUGAAAAGGAAGUGGACUAUAAGGUAAUGUGAGGCCACCACGUUUUUUUUUUUUUUCCCUUCUGGGCCGUCUUGCAUAGUUCUGAUUGCAUCCUCUGCUUAUGAAACUGGGGGCCAAGCCGUGAUGGAGAGAGUUCCAGAACUUGGCCUGCACCGAGCAUGAUGCUCUUGGCAUCCAAAAUUUUCAACAUGAAAAUGGAAAACUUAGAUAGUAAUUUGGUGCAUUGGUGGAAGGACCCAAUAAGAAGAAAUUAUACAGACAGUUCAAAGUGGGUAUAGCAACAAUAAAAACUCUUAUGGAAAACAUCAUCUGUCAGACAUCAUGCCAAGCAGUUAAUUCUGGCUAUUUAACUUAAUAUGGAAAGUAGCUCGUUGAUUGGGAGUUAUCUUCAUUUUACACAUGAAGUCUUGAGGCUCCCAAAGAACUUACCCCAGAGAAAGGAGAGCUUCUGGUAAGAAGAAAGAGCUGGGAUUUAACCCAGGUCUGUCUCUGCCAUGGCUCACAGUUAACCUCUCCAAUAUACCAAUAUUUUCCUGCAGAGCAUACCUACUUAUCUCAGUGCUCACUGUGCAACUGACACAUGAAAUGUGGGGGUCUUUUUUUUUUUUUUUUAAUUUAGACUUUUUGGCAUCACGGAACUGAGAGCGUAGUCAACAGAAAUAGUAGAUAAAGCAAAUUAGCAAAACUCAGGUCCUAUAUUUGCUCCUAGAGCUGUGUCUCUUGGUUUUCUUUCCCUGAUCUAUACUGUAAUAUGUAAGGAUAAGUGCUUUGGAAAAAGAGAGAGACUUCACACAACCGUCAAUUGAAAGCCCUGGUGUCUUGAAUAGAGCUAAGUCAAGUCCUUCUGCCUGCAGUUUCCAUGACUUACGGAAAGGAUGCAAGGGAGAACAGGAAAAGGAUGAACUAGAUCCUUCUAAUGGCCAAUAAUGACAAGUUAUAAUAAAGUUCAAAAGGAAAGAGAUUCUUUGGACCACGAAAUAACUUUUCUUCAUUCAGAAUUGUUUCAAGCUAAAUUUAUUCUCAAACAGCUUGAAAAGGCGAACGUCAAGCUUCAGUCAAAGCUGUUAGCUAGCAGAACAAUAAAUGAGAAUUUGUCCUUGCAACUGGCAUUCCUAAAACCAAAUCUCCAGUCCUCUGAGAAAAACAUCACAGUUCUUGAAGAUGAAAAGAGAAAGCUAACUCUGAUGAUUGAAAGUCUUAAGGAAGAAAGAGAACAACUCCUUUCCCAAAAAGAUUUGCUGAUAAAAGCCUUGACAACUCAGAAAGGAUGCAUAAACUUCGUCUGCAAUUAAUGGGGCUGGGCUUUCCUUCUGUGUUCUGGACUGUUGGCCUUUUCCUCAGUUGUAGUUGGUUUCCAAUAAACAAUAUUUUAUUGAUAUGUUCUACUGAUAUACAAGAAGUAGUGGCAUGCUAGACUUUGCCAAGGGUUAUAAGUUGUGUAAGAUGAUGACAAAUCAAUUCAAACUGUGAUGUUACAACAUUAAGACUAAUGUGAUAAUUUUCUAUAUCUGAAUAUAACAAUGGAGAAAUUAAUUUGUAAAAGCAAUCAUUUGCACCAUUAUCUUCCUAUCUCACAGAGAUGAGACAGUAUAGCAGGGGUGACUGUGUCCUGGUUUAAACUGAUACAAAACUGCAGAAUCACUUUUUUUUUUUUUUGAAGAAUUCCAAUGCAUUUAAUACUUUUGAUGGAGAAGAAUUCACACUCCCAUUGCUAACCUUUAAAUAAAAAUGAUGGAGAUGGGCAGAAUUGGAAGUGGUAGCCAAAUGAAUAAGUGUUUAGUUAAUUACUUACAUGAUAUAAUUUCAAAGGCCAUGAAGUCUUUUAUAUACCCUAAAAAUUGCCACUGCUCUUUAAUGUCUGAAAGUUUCAUAUUUUCCCAACAGAAGGCUCUCUCUCUUAAAAUGCAGACCAAUUACCCUGUGAGGAAUUACACUAAAUGUCAUCUGUUACUUAUAUUUUUUGGAAGUGAAGUGAGUUUUAGAUUCUUCCUCAGAAGUAGGUUUUGAUAGAGAACAGGAGGAUAUUGGAUACUGUGGAAUUAAGGAGAGAAGAACAAAGUCUAAGGUUGUCCACAACACGUGCCUGUUUUCCAAUAUUGCCCACAAUUAGCAUGGCAAGAAAAAUAGAAUCUGGUUUAUUAAAAAAUUGAUUUACAAAUACCUAUUCCAUGACAUUUUAUUUUUAAGUAACUUAAAUCUUAUAGAAAAGUUAUAACAUAGUACAAGACAUUCCUUCUAUUCUACCCAGUUUCAUUUAGCUCUCGUCUGCUCUAUUAUCAACUCACCCCAUCUGUUCAUUCAUAUACCUAUGUUUUCCUUAGAUCUGAGUUUCCAUCUGGUAUAACUUCUUUUAUCCCAAAGACCUUCCUUUAGUAUUUCUUGUACAGCAGAUGUGCUGCUGGCAAAUCCUUUCAAUUAUAAUUUACUUGAAAUUAUUUCAUUAAUCUAAACAUAUUUAUAAUAGCUGCUUUAACAUCUUUGCUAAAUCCAUAUCUGGGUCAUCUUAGUGUCAGCUUCUAUUGACUACUUUUCCUCUUGACUUUGGAUCACAUUGUCCAAUAGUUUUUUAUGGUUUAUUGGACACUGUGUGGAUGAUAUAGCAAGUAUAUUUCUGUUCUUUCUCAGGAAAGUGUUUUUGUUCUAGUGAGCAGUUAAUAUGGUGGAACUCAAAGUCCUACAGUGGGUAGCAGCUAAAACCUCUGCUAAGUUUUUUCAGUCUUCUAACUUGGCUUUCUGUAGAUGUGUAGUUCAGGGGGUCAGCUGUGGCUCUCUUCCUUCUGUGAUGGCCCCCUAGAAUCCCUUUCCUCUGUCCUGAUUCCUCAAGCCAAUAUGACUAUAACUUUCUACUUGAGUUUUAGCUACCUCUCACCUGGAGAACUGGGAAGUGCCUUCAGGCAAAAAAUCAUAUAGACAUAAAUCUCAUCUAGUGGAGUUCCUGUUUUUCAAGUCAUCUUCCUUCCAGUUUCUGUCUGCUUAUGGUUAUCCUCUAGUACCUUCCAACAGUUGUUUUUAUUCUGUUCUGAAAUCAUAAUUGUUAUCUGUAGAAAAGUUAGUCUGACACAGCUACUCUGCUGUUACGAGAAGCAGAAACUACACACAUUUUGAAAAAACACAUUAAAAAUAAAACAUUUAUUCUAUAAAUAUUUACAAGUAAAUUAAUUCAAAAAGUAUUUACAAGGAAUUUACUUUGUGCUAGUUAUAUGCUACUGCUAGAUGCUAGAAAUCCUUUUGGAUGUAAGAAUUUUAUUAAAUUGCAGUCAACUUCAGUGUGCUUGGUUUUUCAUACCUCUAAAUAAAAAUGUUAUCCAUUGGCACUUGCAACCCCUUCCAUAAAAUGAAUAUAAUAAACAUA
This is a long non-coding RNA of Choloepus didactylus (southern two-toed sloth), 3431 nucleotides long. RefSeq lists it as uncharacterized. The record is from RefSeq and is a predicted model, not a curated record. The transcript is spliced from 5 exons. NCBI's taxonomy places the organism in Eukaryota, Metazoa, Chordata, Mammalia, Pilosa, Megalonychidae.